Peromyscus maniculatus bairdii (prairie deer mouse) is the source of this 166-nucleotide non-coding RNA. The record is from RefSeq and is a predicted model, not a curated record. Lineage: Eukaryota; Metazoa; Chordata; Mammalia; Rodentia; Cricetidae.
AUACUUCCCUGGUUGGGAAGACAUUAUAAUUAUGGAUUAAGUAAUAUUCUUUUCCUGGGUAAGGCUCAUCCAUUGUACUCUGGGUAUGUAGUCCUCUGAGAGUUCUCCAAAGGUGGAAAAAUUUACUUCAUAAUUCUUGGUAGUGGAUGUGGGAGGCCAGAUUCAC